UACGAAGGGGACUAGCGUUGUUCGGAAUCACUGGGCGUAAAGCGCACGUAGGCGGAUGUGUCAGUCAGGGGUGAAAUCCCGGGGCUCAACCUCGGAACUGCCUUUGAUACAGCACGUCUCGAGUCCGGAAGAGGUGGGUGGAAUUCCUAGUGUAGAGGUGAAAUGCGCAGAUAUCGGGAGGAACACCAAUGGCGAAGGCAGCUCGCUGGGACGUUACUGACGCUGAGACGCGAAAGCGUGGGGAGCAAACAGG
Molecule: ribosomal RNA, 253 nt
Filed under: uncultured bacterium
Lineage: Bacteria
Description: partial 16S ribosomal RNA
Rfam family: Bacterial small subunit ribosomal RNA
Source: RNAcentral